Molecule: ribosomal RNA, 468 nt
Filed under: uncultured bacterium
Lineage: Bacteria
Description: partial 16S ribosomal RNA
Rfam family: Bacterial small subunit ribosomal RNA
Source: RNAcentral
GACGAACGCUGGCGGCGUGCUUAACACAUGCAAGUCGAACGGAAAGGCCCUGCUUUUGUGGGGUGCUCGAGUGGCGAACGGGUGAGUAACACGUGAGUAACCUGCCCUUGACUUUGGGAUAACUUCAGGAAACUGGGGCUAAUACCGGAUAGGAGCUCCUGCUGCAUGGUGGGGGUUGGAAAGUUUCGGCGGUUGGGGAUGGACUCGCGGCUUAUCAGCUUGUUGGUGGGGUAGUGGCUUACCAAUGCUUUGACGGGUAGCCGGCCUUAGAGGGUGACCGGCCACAAUGGGACUGAGAUACGGCCCAGACUCCUACGGGGGGCAGCAGUGGGAAAUAGUGCACAAUGAGCGGAAGCCGGAUGCAGCAACGCCGCGUGCGGGAAGACAGCCUUCGGGUUGUAAACCGCUUACUCCUGUGACGAAGCGUGAGUGACGGUAAUGGGUAAAGAAGCACCGGCUAACUACGUG